AGUUAAUGAACUUGUAUAAGUAUAUAUUUUGAAAGUAUAAAAAAAGAUUAAUUAUCUUAUUAACUUC
This 67-nucleotide transfer RNA is filed under the name Aquatica lateralis (Japanese firefly). RNAcentral's name for it is "tRNA-Ser". Lineage: Eukaryota; Metazoa; Arthropoda; Insecta; Coleoptera; Lampyridae. The record is from RNAcentral.